Triticum aestivum (bread wheat) is the source of this 434-nucleotide long non-coding RNA. RefSeq lists it as uncharacterized. The record is from RefSeq and is a predicted model, not a curated record. The transcript has 3 exons. NCBI's taxonomy places the organism in Eukaryota, Viridiplantae, Streptophyta, Magnoliopsida, Poales, Poaceae.
UGAUUCACCGAAGCGACGAGACCUUGAAAGCAACUUUUUCAAGUGUUAGUAGCGGGACGUUCUGUCAAUCGGGGAAGGUUUUUGGUGACAAGACCUGGAGAUAUCAGAAGUGAGAAUGCUGACAUGAGUAACGAGAAAUCCUAUGAAAAACACGAUCGCCUGCCAGUGGAAGGCUUUCUGCGUUCAGUCAGUCUACGCAGAGUGAAUCGGUCUCUAAGGAACCCCCGAAAGGGCUUCCGUCCGAUGGGUACACGAAAGUGACGAAGUUGCUUUGACUAAUGAACCAUGCCUGGAUCGUCGGAGUGAAUUGGAUGAUCGGGCCGAGGGCUGCCCCCUCUUCCCCUCGCUCUCCUUUCCUUAAUAUUCACCGUCGAGUCAUCAAAGUCGUCAACUAAUUCAGAGGGGCUCGGCUGGCCCGGAGAUCGGAAGGGCAU